Molecule: transfer RNA, 69 nt
Filed under: Parachauliodes japonicus
Lineage: Eukaryota; Metazoa; Arthropoda; Insecta; Megaloptera; Corydalidae
Description: tRNA-Gln
Source: RNAcentral
UAUAUUUUAGUAUAUGAUGUACAAAAGCUUUUGAUGCUUCAAGAGACAGUUUAAUUCUGUUAAAUAUAA